This 151-nucleotide unclassified non-coding RNA is filed under the name soil metagenome. RNAcentral's name for it is "partial internal transcribed spacer 1". The record is from RNAcentral.
CCGAGUUGACAGACUCCCUAAACCCCUGUGAACAUACUCUACUUGUUGCCUCGGCGGGAGGCAGCCCGCCCCCGGCAACGGGACGCCCGCCGGAGGAUACCCCUAAACUCUUUGACUAUAGUGGACUUCUGAGUAUACCAUGAAUAAGUCA